Molecule: ribosomal RNA, 498 nt
Filed under: uncultured bacterium
Lineage: Bacteria
Description: partial 16S ribosomal RNA
Rfam family: Bacterial small subunit ribosomal RNA
Source: RNAcentral
ACUCAAAUGAAUUGACGGGGGCCCGCACAAGCGGUGGAGCAUGUGGUUUAAUUCGAUGCAACGCGAUGAACCUUACCUACUCUUGAAUCUUUGGAAUUUUGCAGAGAUGCGAAAGUGCCUUCGGGAACCAAAAGACAGGUGCUGCAUGGCUGUCGUCAGCUCGUGUCGUGAGAUGUUGGGUUAAGUCCCGUAACGAGCGCAACCCUUAUCCUUAGUUACCAGCGAGUAAAGUCGGGGACUCUAUGGAGACUGCCAGUGACAAACUGGAGGAAGGCGAGGACGACGUCAAGUCAUCAUGGCUUUUACGAGUAGGGCUACACACGUGCUACAAUGGUCGGUACAAAGGGCAGCGAAGUUGUGAAAUGGAGCGAAUCCUCUAAAGCCGAUCUCAGUCCGGAUUGGAGUCUGCAACUCGACUCCAUGAAGCUGGAAUCGCUAGUAAUCGUAGAUCAGAACGCUACGGUGAAUACGUUCCCGGGCCUUGCACACACCGCCCGU